RNAcentral lists this ribosomal RNA (468 nucleotides) under uncultured bacterium. RNAcentral describes it as "partial 16S ribosomal RNA". It matches the Rfam family "Bacterial small subunit ribosomal RNA", at positions 28 to 507 of the family's 1533-position model. The record is from RNAcentral.
GACGAACGCUGGCGGCGUGCUUAACACAUGCAAGUCGAACGGAAAGGCCCUGCUUUUGUGGGGUGCUCGAGUGGCGAACGGGUGAGUAACACGUGAGUGACCUGCCCUUGACUUUGGGAUAACUUCAGGAAACUGGGGCUAAUACCGGAUAGGAGCUCCUGCUGCAUGGUGGGGGUUGGAAAGUUUCGGCGGUUGGGGAUGGACUCGCGGUUUAUCAGCUUGUUGGUGGGGUAGUGGCUUACCAAGGCUUUGACGGGUAGCCGGCCUGAGAGGGUGACCGGCCACAUUGGGACUGAGAUACGGCCCAGACUCCUACGGGAGGCAGCAGUGGGGAAUAUUGCACAAUGGGCGGAAGCCUGAUGCAGCAACGCCGCGUGCGGGAUGACGGCCUUCGGGUUGUAACCCGCUUUCGCCUGUGACGAAGCGUGAGUGACGGUAAUGGGUAAAGAAGCACCGGCUAACUACGUG